UUGAUGAUGUUGCCCCAUCUUCUCUGAAGGGGAAACAUAUUGUCUGAAUUUUCUUUCCAGUAUGAUAGGCAAUUAGACUUAAAACUUGUAUUUGUUAAUUCUUAUUGAUUCUCAAACAAGUUCAGAUGUGGCUGGAGUGUGCCAGUUGUUGUCCUUAAACACCUAGUGCUCACACUUACAUAUAUGACACAACAGUGAUUUCUCCCAGUAAGGGAGCCCUGGCUGUGUUCUGGAGGCUGUUUCUCUUAUUGAUGAGGUCUUGGGAGGAAAGGGGAUAUAUUUCCUUGGCUUUUCUGCCCUAUCACUGGCUGAGAUGUGUAUGUAUUGAUGGGUACUGGAGCAGCGUUUUUUACUCCAAUGUGGAAGCUGUGUGUUGAGUAUGGUAGAGCCACAAGAUGGAAGGAAUCUGGGUUGAUGAAACCAUGAAGCCUCCAUAACAGCUCUGGGCCUCUUUUUACUACUGUUACAUAUCAAAAAAAAUGUUUAUAAUAAAAUGCUAACUGUAACCACGGCAGAUGUUUCAAUACUAGAUUUGAGAUGAAGAAACUGAAAACAAAGUGUUUAAAAUACAUUUCAACCUAGGGCUGGGGAUAUGGCCUAGAGGCAAGAGUGCUUGCCUCGUAUA
Long non-coding RNA from Perognathus longimembris pacificus (Pacific pocket mouse), 625 nucleotides. RefSeq lists it as uncharacterized. The record is from RefSeq and is a predicted model, not a curated record. NCBI's taxonomy places the organism in Eukaryota, Metazoa, Chordata, Mammalia, Rodentia, Heteromyidae. The transcript has 3 exons.